Molecule: ribosomal RNA, 572 nt
Filed under: uncultured bacterium
Lineage: Bacteria
Description: partial 16S ribosomal RNA
Rfam family: Bacterial small subunit ribosomal RNA
Source: RNAcentral
CUAAGAAUAUUCCGCAAUGGACGGAAGUCUGACGGAGCGACGCCGCGUGGAUGACGAAGGCCGAAAGGUUGUAAAGUUCUUUUGCUGGGGAAGAAUAACCGCAGGAGGGAAUGCCUGUGGGAUGACAAGAACCGGCGAAUAAGCCCCGGCCAACUACGUGCCAGCAGCCGCGGUAACACGUAGGGGGGCGAGCGUUGUUCGGAAUUACUGGGCGUAAAGGGCAUGUAGGCGGCUUGGAAAGCCUGGCGUGAAAGUCUGCAGCUUAACUGCAGGGGUGCGCUGGGAACUGCUGAGCUUGAGUGACGGAGAGGGAGCUGGAAUUCCUGGUGUAGGGGUGAAAUCUGUAGAUAUCAGGAAGAACACCGAUGGCGAAGGCAAGCUCCUGGCCGAUGACUGACGCUGAGGUGCGAAAGUGUGGGGAUCAAACAGGAUUAGAUACCCUGGUAGUCCACACAGUCAACGAUGUGCACUAGGUGCUGGGGCGGUAGCUUCGGUGCCGGAGCGAACGUGGUAAGUGCACCGCCUGGGGAGUAUGCUCGCAAGGGUGAAACUCAAUGAAUUGACGGGGUCAU